UUCAUUCCAAAUAUGAGAAUUGAUAUAAAAAAGAAAAAAAUCAAUUAAAUUGAAUUAUUGUAAAAUUCUAAUUUUCAAGCAAAGGGUAUGUGAAAUUCAUUUCCUGAAAUUUACUGCUUUCAAGUUAUAUAUACUUGUUUGUUUCUGUAAUCAACAGUCAACCAGACUUGGGAUGGAUGAGAAGAUUACAACAGAUACUUGGUCGGAAACACCAGCGGAACCUGCAUGUAUGUGAAAACAGUUGCUUUGUCCAAUUUGGAAAUAUUUGUAUGCAUUCUUAUUUUUGAAAUCGUCAUAUGCAGGCAAUAC
This 309-nucleotide unclassified non-coding RNA is filed under the name Hevea brasiliensis (rubber tree). The record is from RNAcentral. Lineage: Eukaryota; Viridiplantae; Streptophyta; Magnoliopsida; Malpighiales; Euphorbiaceae.